ACUUCAUUUGUGCCGAGGAGCAUUCAACUACUUAACGAAUCAUCCAUGGGCACAUAGAUUGAUUUUGAAUGUGCAUUAUUGAAUAUACUGUAUAUCUAUUUAUUGAUUCUUUUAAGCUGCGGAAUAUUUUAGAGUUGUCAAAUUGAUAUAUUCCAUGUCACUUUUGUCUUUAUUCUUCUUUAUUUAUGUUUAUUUUAUGUUUUUUGUGGUUAUGUUUAUUAUGGUUCCCAUGAGUGUAAAACAAAUUCCCCUUUGGGGCAAUAAAGGUUUCAUUCA
Molecule: non-coding RNA, 276 nt
Organism: Pimephales promelas (fathead minnow)
Lineage: Eukaryota; Metazoa; Chordata; Actinopteri; Cypriniformes; Leuciscidae
Source: RefSeq, a predicted model, not a curated record